This 698-nucleotide long non-coding RNA is filed under the name Ornithorhynchus anatinus (platypus). RNAcentral's name for it is "lncRNA (ENSOANG00000041442.1)". The record is from RNAcentral. Lineage: Eukaryota; Metazoa; Chordata; Mammalia; Monotremata; Ornithorhynchidae.
CUGUAUUUUAUUUAUUUAUGUUAGUAUCUGUCUCCCCCUCUAGACUGUAAGCUCGGGGUGGACAAAGAACGCAUGUGGUGUUAUAUUGUACUCUCCCAAGCGCUUAGUACAGCGCUCUGCACACUGUAAGCGCUCAAUAAAUACGAUUGACUGAACGGGUAGAGGUCAAAGGGCCGCCACCAGGGAGCUCUCCAGGCCCACUCUGGGCGGUCCAAAGGGGAUUUUUCCCACGUCUCCAGUGGAGACAGAAAUUCAUCCAUUCCGGCCUCAAAGGGUUCUGGGCCUCUUCCUCCUUCCUUGGCUUUGCCUUCUCUCGCUGCCAGAGCAAGGGAAACUCCGCUUCCUCUGACUGCCAGCGACGGGUGAUGACGGCAGAUACCAGACAAACAUCCAGUCGCCCCAACCCGGCACCGCAUACGCCCGGUCCUCCAGCUCAGCAGUGAAGGCUCUGAGAGACGCCACGGAGGGGAAAGCUCCACCAUGAAGAGCAGGCUCAGAGGUUCUGCGGAAAGCCUUCUCGCACUGACACGGCUUGCUGAGGAAAAUGGGGCCAGGAACGUGCAUCUGUCCUAGACGGCAUUUGACGUGGGAGGCCGUUCAAUAAAAUUCCUCAUUACGCAACUCGCUUUGAGCGAAAAGACAAUGCAGCCUCCUCUGCGUUCGGGCUGUCUUGUCUGUGACGCUCAGCUCUUUGUCGG